Molecule: transfer RNA, 74 nt
Filed under: Lithothamnion sp.
Lineage: Eukaryota; Rhodophyta; Florideophyceae; Hapalidiales; Hapalidiaceae
Description: tRNA-Arg
Rfam family: tRNA
About the family: Transfer RNA (tRNA) molecules are approximately 80 nucleotides in length.
Source: RNAcentral
GUGUUUAUAGUUUAACUGGAUAAAGCAUUAAAUUACGAAUUUAAGGAUUGAAAGUUCGAAUCUUUCUAAACACA